RNAcentral lists this ribosomal RNA (274 nucleotides) under uncultured bacterium. Its description in RNAcentral is "partial 16S ribosomal RNA". It matches the Rfam family "Bacterial small subunit ribosomal RNA", at positions 523 to 796 of the family's 1533-position model. The record is from RNAcentral.
AUACGGAGGGUGCAAGCGUUAUUCGGAAUCACUGGGCGUAAAGGACGCGUAGGCGGUUUGGCAAGUCAGAUGUGAAAUCCUACAGCUUAACUGUAGAACUGCAUUUGAAACUGCUAACCUAGAGUAUGGGAGGGGGAGAUGGAAUUAGUGGUGUAGGGGUAAAAUCCGUAGAUAUCACUAGGAAUACCGAAAGCGAAGGCGAUCUCCUGGAACAUAACUGACGCUAAGGCGUGAAAGCGUGGGGAGCAAACAGGAUUAGAAACCCUAGUAGUCC